Molecule: long non-coding RNA, 2104 nt
Organism: Vitis riparia (riverbank grape)
Lineage: Eukaryota; Viridiplantae; Streptophyta; Magnoliopsida; Vitales; Vitaceae
Exons: 3
Source: RefSeq, a predicted model, not a curated record
UCCCAUAUCACAUCGCUCGUUAUGUGUGUUAUGUUUGGGUAUUAUUUUUUGACUUUAUGCAUGCGUUAUAGAAUUUAUUUAGAAUAUUUUGAUUUCUGUGUUUGGAUGUGGGUUUUAUGUGUGGCUUUUUAUUUGUCAUUUAUUUGAUUGUUUGUCAGAAGUAUUUGAUUUGCUUUGAAGUGUGUUUUUCCAUGGGAUGUUAUUUUGAUUUUCUCGUCUUUUCAUCUGAUCUCGGUGUCUUGUCCCACCAUUAAUAAGCAUAUAAGUGGAUUUUUCAGGAUUCUCGGGAGCAGGAGAAGUGUGUGAGGAAAGUCUUCUUAGAUAAGUUUUCUUCGUAUUCCCUGUUCUUUCAUAUAUCGCAUUGUUCAAUAUAUCUGUUAUGUUUUGGUAUGAUUUGUUGACAUGAUCUAUGCAUUAUUGAAUUCAGUUCGAAUAUGUUCAUUAUGUUUUGGUUUGUGCGCUUUACGUUUCAUUUUUUAUUUCUCAUUUCUUUCUUUGUGGGUGAGAAUAGUGUAAUUUCCAUUUCUGGUCUUUUCAUGUGAUCUCGGCUUCUUUGGCAAGCAUUUCUAAGCAUAUCACUGGAUUUUUCAGGUUUCUCGGAAGCAAGAGAAGUUUAUGAGGAAGUACUUCUUAUCUAAGUUUACUUCGUAUUCCCUUUUGUCUGCUAUAUCGCAAUUUUCAUUAUCUCUGUUAUGUGUUGGUAUUAUUUGCUGAUUUGUGUUAUUUUUUGUGCGCAUUCGUGUUUUGUUUUUUGUUUGUGAUUUCUUUGAUUUUGGGUGAGAAGAACUGGAUUUCCUUUUGGUAGCAUUUUUCCGUGGAAUGUUAUUUUCCUUUUCUCGUCUUUUCAUUUAAUCUCGGUUUCUUAGCCCACAAUUUAUAACCGUAUAACUUCAUUUUUUCAGGUUAUUCUGGAGCAGGUGAAGUGUAUGAAGAAAUACUUUUUUGGAUUCUCGGGAGCAGGAGAAGUGUGUGAGGAAAGUCUUCUUAGAUAAGUUUUCUUCGUAUUCCCUGUUCUUUCAUAUAUGGCAUUGUUCAAUAUAUCUGUUAUGUUUUGGUAUGAUUUGUUGACAUGAUCUAUGCAAUAUUUAAUUCUGUUCGAAUAUGUUCAUUAUGUUUUGGUUUGUGUGCUUUAUGUUUCAUUUUUUAUUUCUCAUUUCUUUCUUUGUGGGUGAGAAUAGUGUAAUUUCCAUUUCUGGUCUUUUCAUGUGAUCUCGGCUUCUUUGGCAAGCAUUUCUAAGCAUAUCACUGGAUUUUUCAGGUUUCUCGGAAGCAAGAGAAGUUUAUGAGGAAGUACUUCUUAUCUAAGUUUACUUCGUAUUCCUUUUUGUCUGCUAUAUCGCAAUUUCCAUUAUCUCUGUUAUGUGUUGGUAUUAUUUGCUGAUUUGUGUUAUUUUUUGUGCGCAUUUGUGUUUUGUUUUUUGUUUGUGAUUUCUUUGAUUUUGGGUGAGAAGAACUGGAUUUCCUUUUGGUAGCAUUUUUCCGUGGAAUGUUAUUUUCCUUUUCUCGUCUUUUCAUUUAAUCUCGGUUUCUUAGCCCACAAUUUAUAACCGUAUAACUUCAUUUUUUCAGGUUAUUCUGGAGCAGGUGAAGUGUAUGAAGAAAUACUUUUUUGGAUUCUCGGGAGCAGGAGAAGUGUGUGAGGAAAGUCUUCUUAGAUAAGUUUUCUUCGUAUUCCCUGUUCUUUCAUAUAUCGCAUUGUUCAAUAUAUCUGUUAUGUUUGGGUAUGAUUUGUUGACUUGAUCUAUGCAUUAUUGAAUUCAUUUCGAAUAUGUUCAUUAUGUUUUGGUUUGUGCGCUUUACGUUUCAUUUUUUAUUUCUCAUUUCUUUCUUUGUGGGUGAGAAUAGUGUAAUUUCCAUUUCUGGUCUUUUCAUGUGAUCUCGGCUUCUUUGGCAAGCAUUUCUAAGCAUAUCACUGGAUUUUUCAGGUUUCUCGGAAGCAAGAGCAGUUUAUGAGGAAGUACUUCUUAUCUAAGUUUACUUCAUAUUCCUUUUUGUCUGCUAUUUCGCAAUUUUCAUUAUCUCUGUUAUGUGUUGGUAUUAUUUGUUGAUUUGUGUUAUUUUUUGUGCGCAUUUGUGUUUUGUUUUUUGUUUGUGAUUUCUUUGA